Molecule: long non-coding RNA, 788 nt
Organism: Balaenoptera ricei (Rice's whale)
Lineage: Eukaryota; Metazoa; Chordata; Mammalia; Artiodactyla; Balaenopteridae
Exons: 3
Source: RefSeq, a predicted model, not a curated record
UUUCCAGCUACCACUAUGGUAAGUAAUGAGUUAAUACUCAUGACAAAUACAAGUGUUAAGUUUGCUCAGUGUUUUUCCCUUUUUAGAGAUGGACUCUAGUAAUGUGGGAAUCCACUCCAUCACUUACAGGCUGUGUGCUUUGGGACAAACCACAUAACCUCUAGGAGCCUCAGGCUGCUUAUCUCGGGACUGUUGUGAGGAUUAGACAUGAUCCUGUGGGUGAAGCUCCUACCUGGCGCCGUGCCUGGCACUCUCUCUGUGCCCCAGUCACAGUCACUGCAAGGCAGAGUCCCUCCCUUCUAAGCAGAGGCCCAGAGCUUGCUAGCCUCCUCAGGGGUUGGCCAAGUUCUGCUGUGGCCAUUAGUCUUCCACUUCUGCUCCAUGCCCUUCAUCUCCUGUAGUUACCUUGCCCUUUUGGCUGAGGGACGGGCUCACCUCAAACCAAUGUAAGUUGUUUAUUUAUUUAUUUUUAUGUUUUCUUUUUGGCUGCACCGAGUGGCUGGCGGGAUCUUAGUUCCCUGACCAGGGAUUUCACCACAGUGAAAGCGCUGAGUCCUAACCACUGGACCACCAGGGAAUUCUCUAAUCAAUUACCCCUCUGGGACAGUUUAGUAAAUGGAAAGCCAGUGGACAAAUGACAGAAGACCAGAAGUUUAUUCUCUGGAGACAUGGGCUCAGAGCGGCACUGGACUCGGGGACACCAGGCCCAGGAAGCUACUGGCGAAUACCCUCCCUUAAGUGUAGCUGUAGUGGGCCUCGAGGACAACCCAAUACAGAUGGAAACAGAG